UUGUAAAGCACUUUAAGCGAGGAGGAGGCUACUGAGACUAAUACUCUUGGAUAGUGGACGAACAUUUACUCGCAGAAUAAGCACCGGCUAACUCUGUGCCAGCAGCCGCGGUAAUACAGAGGGUGCGAGCGUUAAUCGGAUUUACUGGGCGUAAAGCGUGCGUAGGCGGCUUUUUAAGUCGGAUGUGAAAUCCCCGAGCUUAACUUGGGAAUUGCAUUCGAUACUGGGAAGCUAAAUGAGUAUGGGAGAGGAUGGUAGAAUUCCAGGUGUAGCGGUGAAAUGCGUAGAGAUCUGGAGGAAUACCGAUGGCGAAGGCAGCCAUCUGGCCUAAUACUGACGCUGAGGUACGAAAGCAUGGGGAGCAAACAGGAUUAGAUACCCUGGUAGUCCAUGCCGUAAACGAUGUCUACUAGCCGUUGGGGCCUUUGAGGCUUUAGUGGCGCAGCUAACAUCGCGAUAAGUAGACCGCCUGGGGAGUACGGUCGCAAGACUAAAACUCAAAUGAAUUGACGGGGGCCCGCACAAGCGGUGGAGCAUGUGGUUUAAUUCGAUGCAACGCGAAGAACCUUACCUGGCCUUGACAUACUAGAAACUUUCCAGAGAUGGAUUGGUGCCUUCGGGAAUCUAGAUA
Molecule: ribosomal RNA, 631 nt
Filed under: Acinetobacter junii
Lineage: Bacteria; Pseudomonadati; Pseudomonadota; Gammaproteobacteria; Moraxellales; Moraxellaceae
Description: bacterial SSU rRNA
Rfam family: Bacterial small subunit ribosomal RNA
Source: RNAcentral